GCAGACCAAACAAUUCACCAGCAAGACGUGUGAACCUAUUGAUCAGGGAGCAUGCACCCAACACCGCAAGCAAGAAAAGCAAGAUGCCUGUCCAUACACAUACCCUAGAAUAGACAGAGAAAAGUAAAAUACAAGAUUAACUUUUUGUUGCCACCAGACAUGUACCUCUUCUAUUGCUAUUUAUACAGUUGGUAAAGUAAAUUAAACAGAUACCAUCCUGUCCAGGCUAAGAAUAGUUCCUGUCCCAGUUCCUUUCGGUCCUUUGCAAAGUCGAACAUGAACGUAUACAUCAAAACAGUUGGUUCAGCAACACCAAGGAUAAGCAGAGGCUGUCCCCCAAAGACUGAGUGGAUAAUGCCACAAAAUGCUGUUGAUGCUAGAGUUUGUACGGCAGUUAGAGUCCCGUAUGUAUUCCUUUCUAGCUGCUCCCCAAACGAUAUAACCGGAAUUGCUGAAGCAAAGAAUAUA
Molecule: unclassified non-coding RNA, 468 nt
Filed under: Hevea brasiliensis (rubber tree)
Lineage: Eukaryota; Viridiplantae; Streptophyta; Magnoliopsida; Malpighiales; Euphorbiaceae
Source: RNAcentral